GGGGUUGUGGCUCAGUGGUAGAGCACUUGCCUAGCACAUGUGAGGCCCUGGGUUCGAUUCUCAGCACUACCU
This 72-nucleotide transfer RNA is filed under the name Ictidomys tridecemlineatus (thirteen-lined ground squirrel). RNAcentral describes it as "Spermophilus tridecemlineatus (thirteen-lined ground squirrel) tRNA". It matches the Rfam family "tRNA". From Rfam's summary of the family: Transfer RNA (tRNA) molecules are approximately 80 nucleotides in length. Their secondary structure includes four short double-helical elements and three loops (D, anti-codon, and T loops). Lineage: Eukaryota; Metazoa; Chordata; Mammalia; Rodentia; Sciuridae. The record is from Rfam by way of RNAcentral.